GGAUGAAUAGCUUAACGGCAGAGCAGCGGUUUGUUAGACCGUUGGUUGAAAGUUCGAAUCUUUCUUCAUCCU
Molecule: transfer RNA, 72 nt
Filed under: Lacibacter sediminis
Lineage: Bacteria; Pseudomonadati; Bacteroidota; Chitinophagia; Chitinophagales; Chitinophagaceae
Description: Lacibacter sp. S13-6-6 tRNA-Asn
Rfam family: tRNA
About the family: Transfer RNA (tRNA) molecules are approximately 80 nucleotides in length. Their secondary structure includes four short double-helical elements and three loops (D, anti-codon, and T loops).
Source: RNAcentral